GUGAACUUGCAGAAGGAUCAUUG
This 23-nucleotide ribosomal RNA is filed under the name Amphicarpaea bracteata (hog peanut). RNAcentral describes it as "partial small subunit ribosomal RNA". The record is from RNAcentral. Lineage: Eukaryota; Viridiplantae; Streptophyta; Magnoliopsida; Fabales; Fabaceae.